Molecule: long non-coding RNA, 227 nt
Filed under: Gossypium barbadense (sea-island cotton)
Lineage: Eukaryota; Viridiplantae; Streptophyta; Magnoliopsida; Malvales; Malvaceae
Description: long non-coding RNA (GBAR_LNC016732)
Source: RNAcentral
CCGGUGUUGGUGGUGGGAGUGUCAGACGGUAUGGGCGUCGUGGGGGCGAGGGCGCGCAUGCGAUGCUGGGGGGCAGACGAGGCUGAGCGGCGCACAUGGGCAUAGGGCUGCUAGGGUUUAUGUCAGUUUUUGAUUUGGGCUAGGGUUUAUUUUUGUUGGCCCGUUGGGUUUGUUUAGUUAGGGUAGGUUAGUUGGGUUUUGGGGGUGGGUCAAAAUUGGCCUGUACA